GCGUACGCGCCGAUCUUCCAGAAAGCGCCAUCCACGCGUGCGCGUGAUGUGCGCGGGCGCGCCGAUUGUGCUGCACCCAAUGCCCAGCCAUUUUCCAGAGAGUUAUGCCAGAACUGUGCCAGUGUUGUGCCUGGGGCACGAGAACACCCGCGCGUACGCGUGGUUGGCGCGUGCGCGUCGAUUGGCAAAUCUUUAAUCCACGCGUUAGCGUGCAUGACGCUUGCGCGUCGAUGAGUUUUUGAGGCCAUCCACGCGUGCGCGUGGAGUGCGCGUACGCGUGGCCCUGUUUUCAUCCCAAAGUUGAUUUUUGAGUUUUAAAAGCCAAAUCUCAUACUUCUAAGCCUCCGAUCUCACCAUUUAUGUCUUAAAUCAUUAUGACAUGCCUAGCUAUUAAAAAGGGGCUAGUGAAUGAGGUAACUUGCGAGUGAAGCAAGGGAAAAAUGAAUGAUCAAUGAGGAUCAAGAUGAUUAUGUGAGAUGCGGAGGAUGGUGG
This 492-nucleotide long non-coding RNA is filed under the name Arachis ipaensis. Its description in RNAcentral is "long non-coding RNA (AIPA_LNC001911)". Lineage: Eukaryota; Viridiplantae; Streptophyta; Magnoliopsida; Fabales; Fabaceae. The record is from RNAcentral.